RNAcentral lists this ribosomal RNA (820 nucleotides) under uncultured Geothrix sp. RNAcentral's name for it is "bacterial SSU rRNA". It matches the Rfam family "Bacterial small subunit ribosomal RNA", at positions 34 to 849 of the family's 1533-position model. Lineage: Bacteria; Pseudomonadati; Acidobacteriota; Holophagae; Holophagales; Holophagaceae. The record is from RNAcentral.
CAGUGGCGGGGUGCUAAAAUGCAAGUCGGAUGUGCCGCAAGGUGCAUGGCAGACGGGUGAGUAACGCGUAGGGAAUCUACCUCUUUGUGGGGAAUAACGCUCCGAAAGGAGUGGUAAUACCGCAUGAGACUGUGGACUGGGAUGUUCACGGUGAAACCUGGGGACCGAAAGGCCUGGGGCAAGGAGAGGAUCCUGCGUCUGAUUAGCUAGUUGGCGGGGUAAUGGCCCACCAAGGUGACGAUCAGUAGCCGGCCUGAGAGGGUGAUCGGCCACACUGGAACUGAGACACGGUCCAGACUCCUACGGGAGGCAGCAGUGGGGAAUUUUGCGCAAUGGACGAAAGUCUGACGCAGCAACGCCGCGUGGGUGAUGAAGGUCUUCGGACUGUAAAACCCUGUCGUCAGGGACGAAGGUUGGGGGGUUAAUAACCCCUUAGCUUGACGGUACCUGGAGAGGAAGCCCCGGCUAACUCUGUGCCAGCAGCCGCGGUAAUACAGAGGGGGCAAGCGUUAUUCGGAAUUAUUGGGCGUAAAGGGCGCGUAGGCGGUUUUUUAAGUCAGAUGUGUAAUCCCCGAGCUCAACUUGGGAACUGCAUCUGAGACUGGAAGGCUAGAGUACUGGAGAGGGUGGUGGAAUUCCUCGUGUAGCGGUGAAAUGCGUAGAGAUGAGGAGGAACACCAGUGGCGAAGGCGGCCACCUGGACAGUAACUGACGCUGAGGCGCGAAAGUGUGGGUAGCAAACAGGAUUAGAUACCCUGGUAGUCCACGCUGUAAACGAUGAACACUUGGUGUGGAGGGAGUUGACCCCUUUCCGUGCCGG